This 308-nucleotide ribosomal RNA is filed under the name uncultured bacterium. RNAcentral's name for it is "bacterial SSU rRNA". It matches the Rfam family "Bacterial small subunit ribosomal RNA", at positions 30 to 334 of the family's 1533-position model. The record is from RNAcentral.
AUUGAACGCUGGCGGCAUGCCUAACACAUGCAAGUCGAACGGUAACGCUGGAAGCUUGCUUCCUGGCGACGAGUGGCGGACGGGUGAGUAAUGCUUGGGAAUUUGCCUAGUAGUGGGGGACAACACGGGGAAACUCGCGCUAAUACCGCAUACGCCCUACGGGGGAAAGCGGGGGAUCUUCGGACCUCGCGCUAUUAGAUGAGCCCAAGUCGGAUUAGCUUGUUGAUGAGGUAAAGGCUCACCAAGGCAACGAUCCGUAGCUGGUCUGAGAGGACGAUCAGCCACACUGGGACUAAGACACGGCCCAG